This 253-nucleotide ribosomal RNA is filed under the name uncultured bacterium. RNAcentral's name for it is "partial 16S ribosomal RNA". It matches the Rfam family "Bacterial small subunit ribosomal RNA", at positions 524 to 776 of the family's 1533-position model. The record is from RNAcentral.
GACGUAGGGGGCCAGCGUUGUUCGGAAUUACUGGGUGUAAAGGGUUCGUAGGCGGUGUGGCAAGUCGGGAGUGAAAUCUAUGGGCUUAACUCAUAGGCUGCUUCCGAAACUGCUGUGCUUGAGUGUGGGAGAGGCGCGUGGAAUUGCAGGUGUAGCGGUGAAAUGCGUAGAUAUCUGCAGGAACACCCGUGGCGAAAGCGGCGCGCUGGACCACUACUGACGCUGAGGAACGAAAGCUAGGGGAGCAAACAGG